This 378-nucleotide ribosomal RNA is filed under the name Enterobacter sp. CAR37. RNAcentral's name for it is "bacterial SSU rRNA". It matches the Rfam family "Bacterial small subunit ribosomal RNA", at positions 963 to 1344 of the family's 1533-position model. The record is from RNAcentral. Lineage: Bacteria; Pseudomonadati; Pseudomonadota; Gammaproteobacteria; Enterobacterales; Enterobacteriaceae.
GAAGAACCUUACCUGGUCUUGACAUCCACAGAACUUGCCAGAGAUGGCUUGGUGCCUUCGGGAACUGUGAGACAGGUGCUGCAUGGCUGUCGUCAGCUCGUGUUGUGAAAUGUUGGGUUAAGUCCCGCAACGAGCGCAACCCUUAUCCUUUGUUGCCAGCGGUCCGCCCGGGAACUCAAAGGAGACUGCCAGUGAUAAACUGGAGGAAGGUGGGGAUGACGUCAAGUCAUCAUGGCCCUUACGACCAGGGCUACACACGUGAUACAAUGGCGCAUACAAAGGGAAGCCACCUCGCGAGAGCAAGCGGACCUCAUAAACCCGUCUAUCCGGAUUGGAGUCUGCAACUCGACUCCAUGAAGUCGGAAUCGCUAGUAAUCG